UUUAUCUUUUGGUUCAAAAAAAAAAAUUUUAUGCACUUCAACAGAGACGCAACGUAAUUAAAUGAUCAAAUGUCACAAAAUUCCCAUUCAAAAUCAAAACAACUACAGAUAAAAUAAAACUAACAUUGACUAAAUAGCACCAAAUGUGAAUAACACCCAUCAAACAAUGUUCUCAUAAAACUUGUUCACCGCACAAUUGUUGACUGGAUCUAUAAUUCGAUUAAGCUGAUGUUGUAGCUCCCUUCUUCCUUGGUGCUGCUUGAGUGCCUUCUCUAAAACCACUCUUGAACCUGCGAGGUACAUGGCG
Molecule: unclassified non-coding RNA, 307 nt
Filed under: Hevea brasiliensis (rubber tree)
Lineage: Eukaryota; Viridiplantae; Streptophyta; Magnoliopsida; Malpighiales; Euphorbiaceae
Source: RNAcentral